RNAcentral lists this unclassified non-coding RNA (307 nucleotides) under plant metagenome. RNAcentral describes it as "partial contains 5.8S ribosomal RNA, internal transcribed spacer 2, and large subunit ribosomal RNA". The stretch from base 1 to 105 matches the Rfam family "5.8S ribosomal RNA", at positions 50 to 154 of the family's 154-position model. The record is from RNAcentral.
GAAAUGCGAUAAGUAAUGUGAAUUGCAGAAUUCAGUGAAUCAUCGAAUCUUUGAACGCAGAUUGCGCCCGCCAGCACUCUGGCGGGCAUGCCUGUUCGAGCGUCAUUUCAACCCUCAGAACCCCUUGCGGGAUCUGGCGUUGGAGAUUGGCAUCCAGCCAGCCCCGAAAUCUAGUGGCGGUCCCUCCGCGACCUCCCCUGUGCAGUAGCGAUACCUCGCAGCGGGACAGCGGUCUGACCACGCCGUAAAACCCCCAACUUCUCAAGGUUGACCUCGAAUCAGGUAGGAAUACCCGCUGAACUUAAGC